ACUGCUCAGUAACACGUGGAUAACCUGCCCUUGGGUCCGGCAUAACCCCGGGAAACUGGGGAUAAUUCCGGAUAACGCAUAUGUGCUGGAAUGCUUUAUGCGUCAAAUGGAUUCGUCUGCCCAAGGAUGGGUCUGCGGCCUAUCAGGUAGUAGUGGGUGUAAUGUACCUACUAGCCGACAACGGGUACGGGUUGUGAGAGCAAGAGCCCGGAGAUGGAUUCUGAGACAUGAAUCCAGGCCCUACGGGGCGCAGCAGGCGCGAAAACUUUACAAUGCGGGAAACCGUGAUAAGGGGACACCGAGUGUCAGCAUCAUAUGCUGGCUGUCCAGGUGUGUAAAAUACACCUGUUAGCAAGGGCCGGGCAAGACCGGUGCCAGCCGCCGCGGUAACACCGGCGGCCCGAGUGGUGAUCGUGAUUAUUGGGUCUAAAGGGUCCGUAGCCGGUUUGGUCAGUCCUCCGGGAAAUCUGAUAGCUCAACUAUUAGGCUAUCGGGGGAUACUGCCAGACUUGGAACCGGGAGAGGUAAGAGGUACUACAGGGGUAGGAGUGAAAUCUUGUAAUCCCUGUGGGACCACCUGUGGCGAAGGCGUCUUACCAGAACGGGUUCGACGGUGAGGGACGAAAGCUGGGGGCACGAACCGGAUUAGAUACCCGGGUAGUCCCAGCCGUAAACGAUGCUCGCUAGGUGUCAGGCAUGGCGCGACCGUGUCUGGUGCCGCAGGGAAGCCGGGAAGCGAGCCACCUGGGAAGUACGGCCGCAAGGCUGAAACUUAAAGGAAUUGGCGGGGGAGCAC
RNAcentral lists this ribosomal RNA (796 nucleotides) under uncultured archaeon. RNAcentral's name for it is "bacterial SSU rRNA". It matches the Rfam family "Archaeal small subunit ribosomal RNA", at positions 85 to 879 of the family's 1478-position model. The record is from RNAcentral.